This 371-nucleotide ribosomal RNA is filed under the name uncultured eukaryote. Its description in RNAcentral is "partial 18S ribosomal RNA". It matches the Rfam family "Eukaryotic small subunit ribosomal RNA", at positions 592 to 976 of the family's 1831-position model. The record is from RNAcentral.
CAAUAGCGUAUAUUAAAGUUGUUGCAGUUAAAAAGCUCGUAGUUGAAUUUCUGUCAGGAGUGACCGGGCCUUUGGAUGAACUUCCAUUGUUUUUUGCUCUGUUUGUCAUCUCUAGACAUCCUGAAAUAUUUUUUAAAAAUAUUUCUCUUUUACUGUUAGCAAAAUAGAGUGUUCCAAGCAAAGCGUAGUUUUGAAUACAUUAGAAUGGAAUAAUAAGAUAGGACUUUGGUGCUAUUUUGUUGGUUUGCACACCAAGGUAAUGAUUAAUAGGGACAGUUGGGGGUAUUCGUAUUUAAUUGUCAGAGGUGAAAUUCUUGGACCGUCUGAAGACUAACUACUGCGAAAGCAUUUGCCAAGAGUGUUUUCAUUAA